RNAcentral lists this long non-coding RNA (549 nucleotides) under Oryza sativa tropical japonica subgroup. RNAcentral's name for it is "lncRNA OsKeNa_04g0020070". The record is from RNAcentral. Lineage: Eukaryota; Viridiplantae; Streptophyta; Magnoliopsida; Poales; Poaceae.
UCAAAUAUUCAAAGCACCCUCCCGUCCAUCCCAUCAAGGAGGCCGGACCACAUCCCCUUCACCGGCGGCAGCUGCGCCACGAACGCUUGCCACGGCGGGUACCCGACGCCGCUGCCACGGACGCGGCCGUCCAGCCGGAGCGAGAGAUACCUGCAAGAUUCAGCAGCUGCAGAAACUUCAGUUAUAUUUUCAGACAAAUUCAGAGUAGUUUUUGAUACUCACACGGGGGAAUCAGCCGCCGCCGCCGCCUCCUCCUCCUCCUCGUCGGCCUCGUCGAACUGCAGGUCCGGCGCGUUGCCGUCCGUCGAGAAGGGCACGACAAGCACGCCGCGCUCCAUGAGGUCCUUCAAGAACGGCUUGCUCCGGCGGAACGACUCGGUGACGAACGCCGCGGGGCCGGCGACGAUGACGAGCCGCGCGGUGCCCCUCAGCUCGCCGAGCGGGACGGGCGGGCGGCCCUCGCCGGCGCGGAUCCUGAGCCUGGACAGGUUCUCCUCCCGCGUGAGCUUCGCCACCUGCGCGUCCUUGGCCUUGCUCUCGCGCCAGUAG